GGGGCGGUCGCCAAGUUGGUUAAGGCUCGGUGCUCAUAACACCGUCAUGCGUGGGUUCGAGUCCCACCCGCCCUA
RNAcentral lists this transfer RNA (75 nucleotides) under Labedella phragmitis. RNAcentral describes it as "Labedella sp. 11W25H-1 tRNA-Met". It matches the Rfam family "tRNA". From Rfam's summary of the family: Transfer RNA (tRNA) molecules are approximately 80 nucleotides in length. Their secondary structure includes four short double-helical elements and three loops (D, anti-codon, and T loops). Lineage: Bacteria; Bacillati; Actinomycetota; Actinomycetes; Micrococcales; Microbacteriaceae. The record is from RNAcentral.